Diceros bicornis minor is the source of this 351-nucleotide non-coding RNA. Lineage: Eukaryota; Metazoa; Chordata; Mammalia; Perissodactyla; Rhinocerotidae. The record is from the annotation of a RefSeq genome assembly.
UCAGCCAUGAGCUUGGUUUCCGUGCCAGUGCUGAUGCUGCUUUUUGCCUUGAGAGGAACCGGAGCCCAGUCAGUGACUCAGCCUGACGUCCACAUCACUGUCUCUGAGGGAGCCCGUCUGGAGCUGAGGUGCAACUAUUCAUCUUCUGUUCCACCAUCUCUCUUCUGGUACGUGCAAUAUCCCAACCGAGGACUUCAGCUUCUCCUGAAGUACACGUCUGGAAACAGCCUUGUUUCAGGCAUCAAAAGUUUUGAGGCUGAAUUUAAGAAGAGUGAAACCUCCUUCCACCUGAGGAAACCGUCAGCCCAUUGGAGUGACUCGGCCAAGUACUUCUGUGCUCUGAGUGACUGA